CCUACGGGUGGCAGCAGUGAGGAAUAUUGGUCAAUGGACGAGAGUCUGAACCAGCCAAGUAGCGUGAAGGAUGACUGCCCUAUGGGUUGUAAACUUCUUUUAUAUGGGAAUAAAACGUUCCACGUGUGGGAUUUUGUAUGUACCAUAUGAAUAAGGAUCGGCUAACUCCGUGCCAGCAGCAGCGGUAAUACGGAGGAUCCGAGCGUUAUACGGAUUUAUUGGGUUUAAAGGGAGCGUAGGUGGAUUGUUAAGUCAGUUGUGAAAGUUUGCGGCUCAACCGUAAAAUUGCAGUUGAGACUGGCAGUCUUGAGUACAGUAGAGGUGGGCGGAAUUCGUGGUGUAGCGGUGAAAUGCUUAGAUAUCACGAAGAACUCCGAUUGCGAAGGCAGUUCACUGGACUGCAACUGACACUGAGGCUCGAAAGUGUGGGUAUCAAACAGGAUUAGAUACCCUAGUAGUC
Molecule: ribosomal RNA, 460 nt
Filed under: uncultured bacterium
Lineage: Bacteria
Description: partial 16S ribosomal RNA
Rfam family: Bacterial small subunit ribosomal RNA
Source: RNAcentral